ACCUAGACAGGUGGGCUUUGAUCCCACAAAACUCUAGUUAACAGCUAAAUGCCCAAACCAACAGGCUUCCGUCUA
This 75-nucleotide transfer RNA is filed under the name Gavia arctica. RNAcentral's name for it is "tRNA-Asn". The record is from RNAcentral. Lineage: Eukaryota; Metazoa; Chordata; Aves; Gaviiformes; Gaviidae.